GGAGGCGUCUGGGUCCUGGUGGGCCCCCUGGUCUUCAACACCAGUGAGACCGAGUACCUCGGUCUGGCGGGUUCGAUUCCCGUCCGCCUCCGCCA
Molecule: transfer RNA, 95 nt
Filed under: Gulosibacter macacae
Lineage: Bacteria; Bacillati; Actinomycetota; Actinomycetes; Micrococcales; Microbacteriaceae
Description: Zimmermannella sp. YIM 102482-1 tRNA-Sec
Rfam family: Selenocysteine transfer RNA
Source: RNAcentral